This 293-nucleotide ribosomal RNA is filed under the name Clostridioides difficile. RNAcentral describes it as "partial 23S ribosomal RNA". It matches the Rfam family "Bacterial large subunit ribosomal RNA", at positions 534 to 826 of the family's 2925-position model. Lineage: Bacteria; Bacillati; Bacillota; Clostridia; Peptostreptococcales; Peptostreptococcaceae. The record is from RNAcentral.
GGGAGUGAAAUAGAACCUGAAACCCUGCACUUACAAGCUGUGGAAGCACAUUUCUUGUGUGACCGCGUACUUUUUGUAGAACGGGCCAACGAGUUACGUUAAGUAGCCAGGUUAAGCACUUAAGGUGUGGAGCCGUAGCGAAAGCGAGCUUUAACUGAGCGUUCAGUUACUUGACGUAGACCCGAAACCGGGCGACCUACCCAUGGGCAGGAUGAAGGGAAAGUAAAAUUUCGUGGAGGUCCGAACCCACGCGCGUUGAAAAGCUCGGGGAUGACGUGUGAGUAGCGGUGAAA